This 370-nucleotide long non-coding RNA is filed under the name Bos indicus x Bos taurus (hybrid cattle). RNAcentral describes it as "lncRNA (ENSBIXG00005013347.1)". Lineage: Eukaryota; Metazoa; Chordata; Mammalia; Artiodactyla; Bovidae. The record is from RNAcentral.
CGCUGCUGCAGAGACCCCGCCUGGCCCGCGGGCCGCGCCCGGGAAGGGACCCUGGCUCCCCAAAUCAAAGCGAGCUGUAAGGCAUCUUUAAAAAGCUCAGACAGAAGCGUUCGACGGAGACCCUCAGUCCUUGCUGGACAAGCCACUGCCACUUGAAGUUUUAAGGAAUGGUUGAAGGGCGCACAGAGGAACAUUUGGUUAUACAAAAGGAUUGAUUUUUACGAGAAGCUUCAAAAGACGCCCCGGAAAGUGGGACAAGAUUAUCUGUAAAUCAGAUAAGAAGGAUUCUCAAAGUAAAAGAUAUCUUAGUCGCUUACAUCAGAUGUAUUCCACUUCGCUCGCCAACAUGGAGUUCUCCAGGAGGUAAGUC